CCCCUACUAGCUCCUUUGCCAGAUUGGAUUUUAACAAUCCUAUCAGUCUCAAACCUUGCAGCAGCACUGCAGCACUACAUAGAAGCAUUGUUUAAGAUUGCAUUUCCAUUUUUACCUAAACCCAAGAAGAAAUAUAAGAAAGACUAUCUUUUCUUGAGAAAGAAUAUAAUUAGCGGGGCAUGCAUGCAUGCCUGCCUGCAUGAGAGCCAAAGUU
This 214-nucleotide unclassified non-coding RNA is filed under the name Hevea brasiliensis (rubber tree). Lineage: Eukaryota; Viridiplantae; Streptophyta; Magnoliopsida; Malpighiales; Euphorbiaceae. The record is from RNAcentral.